RNAcentral lists this ribosomal RNA (453 nucleotides) under uncultured bacterium. Its description in RNAcentral is "partial 16S ribosomal RNA". It matches the Rfam family "Bacterial small subunit ribosomal RNA", at positions 32 to 507 of the family's 1533-position model. The record is from RNAcentral.
AACCAACGCUGGCGGCGUGCCUAAUACAUGCAAGUCGAACGGGGUAGCAAUACCUAGUGGCGCACGGGUGAGUAACGCGUGGAUAAUCUGCCUUAGAGUGGGGGAUAACUAGUCGAAAGAUUAGCUAAUACCGCAUAAGACCACAAGAGCUGCGGCUCAAGGGGUCAAAGGUUUUUCGCUCUAAGAUGAGUCCGCGUAAGAUUAGCUAGUUGGUGAGGUAAUGGCUCACCAAGGCGACGAUCUUUAACUGGUCUGAGAGGAUGAUCAGUCACACUGGAACUGAGACACGGUCCAGACUCCUACGGGAGGCAGCAGUAGGGAAUAGUGCACAAUGGAGGAAACUCUGAUGCAGCGACGCCGCGUGAGUGAUGAAGGCCUUCGGGUCGUAAAGCUCUGUCGCAGGGGAAUAACACAAUGAAUGUACCCUGUAAGAAAGGAUCGGCUAACUUCGUG